Non-coding RNA from Anas platyrhynchos (mallard), 2467 nucleotides. NCBI's taxonomy places the organism in Eukaryota, Metazoa, Chordata, Aves, Anseriformes, Anatidae. The record is from RefSeq and is a predicted model, not a curated record.
CUUUUCUUAUAUUUUCCCCAAAAAGUAAUUUUCAUCACAAGGACUGAUGUACACCAUGGACACUAUGGAUGGACCUUGUUAAUAUGUCUUUGUGAAUUUGAACCUGUCUCAGCACCCUUCGUGCAAGAGCCUGCUUGCUGAGGUCCUUCUUUGGCAGUCCUGCCCUCCAACACACCAGGCCAUAUACCCCAAACUGGUAUUACCCUCAAACCUGCAGAGGAAGGGGCUUUUUCAUGCCAUCCCAUCACCAAGCUUGUUGAUGAAGAUGUUGAAGAGGAUCGGCAACAGCAUCAGCCCCCUAGGAACAACACACAGCUCUGCAAGUUAAAUUUCAAGUCAUUACCUACUGCCACUCUACAAGAAUAUAUCAGAAACUUCACUAAAUAUGAGGCAAACUUCCACUGCUCUCCACUUAGUCACAGAGCCAGAGAUUUCACCAAACAAUUGGACUGUUCGAGCACAGUUUGCAUUUGGUAAUUCUGUUCUGGUUGUCCCCAGUCUUCAGACAUCUGUCUGGUAUUCUUUAUUGCUGCAGCACAGUGUGCUCAACUCAGCCAGGCUUUGACAAAGACAACUGAGAUUCCUAAUUUUCUACAACUAAUAUUCUAGCUUGAGCUAGCUUAAUGACAUAGAGAAAACUAUAAAGAUCUUAAAAAAAAUAAUGUCUUAAAUUUUCUUAAAUUUUUCACCAGGAGUUUUUUCAGAAGCUGCAUAACACUGCACUACCUAAAGAGGAUACCUUCAUUUGUAUCCUUUAAAACAGUGGGCCUAUGUUUUGUAAAGCAGGAAUGCCUUUCUUUCAGCACCUAAGACAAUAAAAUAUAUUAAAUUUUAAGGGCUGUAUCCUCACUUGUUUACAUCAGUGGGUGCCCUUUAGCUUUAGAGUAACUGUACUAGCUUAUGCCAAAGGAGGAUCUGGGCCCAGGUUUCUAUUUCCAGCUGGGUUUUGCUCAUGUGAAUGUAACAGUUCAUUUGGAACAUAUGGAAGAGGUGGGGGAGGGAGUUCCUGCUCACACAACUCAUGCAGCUAGAUUGAUUUUUGCUAAAACUUAAAAAAUAACCAGCACAUAUCAUGUGUGACAGUUGCUGUCCUGCAUAUCCCAUAGAAAUUAUAUUGUGUAAGAAAAUUUGAGUGUUAAUAUUUAGUAGUAUGGCAGCUAUGCCAUGCAACACUUAACCUGUCUGGGAAUAUGGUUAUUUCCAUUUUCAUAGUAAUGGGAUAUUCUAUCCCAAGAUGUGUUGAGAGAAAACACACUAAUGGGUUUUUAUGUGAACACCUGGAGGACCAAUUUAUACCAUGGAACUGGACCAGAAUUAUAUGAUUAAAUGCAAAUCAUCACUGUUGUAAACAAUACAAGGAGAGAGUAAACCAAAGCCUAACAUGAUAUAAUGAGAGAAAAAUAGGUUUUUCAGUGUCUGAAACACACAGGUCAGAUCAUGCAGCUCCCACAGUUUCUGUUAACACAAUUUUACAGUAGAAAAGUUUUUGUUGAUGCUAAAUCAAAGCCAACUUUCAUCUGAUUGAGUGGAAGAGAUGUAUUGCAUUACUGAGCAUGUUCUCUAGGGUCAGAAAUGUAUUCCUCUUAUUUACCUACCUGAUUUCCCACUGAAAACUACUAGGAAUAUGAAUACUGUAUAAUUUGUUGGAUUUGAAUGAAUCCCUCCUACAAAAGGUGUUGACCUGGGAGUUUUUUCUCCAGAUAUGAAAACAAUGGAUAUAUCCCAAGAGAAAAUGAGAGGACAUCUUCUAUUUCACAGUCCUUGCUUGUCUGUGGCACAUUCCCAUGCUCCUAGUGAGAAGCUAGGAUGUUUAGACAAGCUGUAUGUUAGGAGCUAGAAGGCGGUUUACAAUUUAACAGCAAAAAUAUUGCAAGCUAUCAAAAAACACAGUGAGAACAUGAGUUAAGUGCUUAUAAAUACCCAUUUCCUGUAAAAAAAAAAAAAAAAAAAAAAAAAAAAAAAAAGAGCUUUAAUGCAGAUAUAAAGCUGCUUGCUUCUGUCUUUUACUGUAUUUUCAUAACAUUUCCAUGGGCAAGAAGACAGGAAAGAGAAGUGCCAGUGUGGGAUCAUGCCCCCAGGUUUCUCUACAGUUCUGUGUUUGUCUAAAGUGAAGUGCCUGAAUUUGGAAAGUGCUACUGCUCACAUUUGUAAGAACUGCAAGAAUGUGACCACUUCAGGAAACAUUUUAUUUUUCUUUUUUUUUUCUUUUUUCUUACUUCUAAGCACUCACAAUCUAGAUUUAGGUGCCUAUUUAGACACUAAACAAGUUUUAAGAUGUCAGCUUUCAUGCUCAGCUUGAACACUUUUUUUUUUUGAUAAUAUAUUUAGCUGGGUCAAAUGUAUCCCUGAAGUAAUCUGGUCUAUUGUGCUUACAGUCUGCUUAACUUUUAUUUUCUGAUUAUUUCUUCUUUGGUUUACCUUUGUUUUUCUACCCUGUGGCAAAUAAACAAUUCUUUCAUUGAAGAUA